AUGAUGCUCAUGCUAUGCACAUGACUAAUGCAACCAUAACACUGGGGUGUUACAAUAAUCUUAAGUAACGGUAGUUAGGUACGCCAAUCGAUAGUUCAUGAAUGAAGAAGUAAUAUAACUGCAAGCGGACAGAACAAUCAUUGUAGCAUUUCAACCCGUGAGUAUUCAAGGGUGUCGAGUUUAUAAUUCCCGUAGGAAGGCAAAGGGAUCAAACAUGGUGUAAACAUGAUUACUUAUUAAAUGCUUGGUAGACAUAGAGUAAACAGGAAUAAACAUGAUAUUCAAGAUAGUGGACACACAUUGGAUCAACCUCAAGAAUAAAACAGAAGAGAAAUAAUAAAUAAAGAAUAAAGAAAU
This 357-nucleotide long non-coding RNA is filed under the name Sorghum bicolor (sorghum). RNAcentral describes it as "long non-coding RNA (SBIC_LNC012497)". Lineage: Eukaryota; Viridiplantae; Streptophyta; Magnoliopsida; Poales; Poaceae. The record is from RNAcentral.